Molecule: ribosomal RNA, 418 nt
Filed under: uncultured bacterium
Lineage: Bacteria
Description: bacterial SSU rRNA
Rfam family: Bacterial small subunit ribosomal RNA
Source: RNAcentral
UGGGGAAUAUUGGGCAAUGGGCGAAAGCCUGACCCAGCAACGCCGCGUGAGGGAAGAAGGGUUUUCGGCUCGUAAACCUCUGUCCUAUGGGACGAAGGAAGUGACGGUACCAUAGGAGGAAGCCCCGGCUAACUACGUGCCAGCAGCCGCGGUAAUACGUAGGGGGCGAGCGUUGUCCGGAAUGAUUGGGCGUAAAGGGCGCGUAGGCGGCCUGCUAAGUCUGGAGUGAAAGUCCUGCUUUCAAGGUGGGAAUUGCUUUGGAUACUGGUGGGCUGGAGUGCAGGAGAGGAAAGCGGAAUUACCGGUGUAGCGGUGAAAUGCGUAGAGAUCGGUAGGAACACCAGUGGCGAAGGCGGCUUUCUGGACUGAAACUGACGCUGAGGCGCGAAAGCGUGGGGAGCAAACAGGAUUAGAUACC